GGGGGCGAGCUGGGUUCGACGGGAAUAAUUGAGGUCUAGGUUGCAUAUCGAGGUUCCAUCUGCUCGUAAAACGGGUGGGCUAAACACAAACGCAGACGAUUAUGCGUACGCUCUAGCCGCAUAGGGCUAGCGUCUCCCUGCUCCAAGCCUGCGGGAACAGACGAGGCGCCGACUAGCAGGCUGGCUGAUCCGAUUUGCCUGAAAUCGGUUAGGCGAGAUCUUUUCAGGCUUGCCCUGAGGUUGACCUGCCGGGUUGGUAGCCGAUGGGC
This 269-nucleotide transfer-messenger RNA is filed under the name Deltaproteobacteria bacterium CG_4_10_14_3_um_filter_51_14. RNAcentral describes it as "partial transfer-messenger RNA". It matches the Rfam family "transfer-messenger RNA", at positions 1 to 290 of the family's 374-position model. From Rfam's summary of the family: Bacterial tmRNA, also known as 10Sa RNA or SsrA, is named for its dual tRNA and mRNA-like properties. Its role is to liberate the mRNA from a stalled ribosome. To accomplish this part of the tmRNA is used as a reading frame that ends in a translation stop signal. The record is from RNAcentral. Lineage: Bacteria; Deltaproteobacteria.